This 266-nucleotide ribosomal RNA is filed under the name uncultured bacterium. Its description in RNAcentral is "partial 16S ribosomal RNA". It matches the Rfam family "Bacterial small subunit ribosomal RNA", at positions 334 to 617 of the family's 1533-position model. The record is from RNAcentral.
GCGCCCUACGGGACGCAGCAGUGGGGAAUAUUGCACAAUGGGGGGAACCCUGAUGCAGCGACCCCGCGUGAGUGAAGAAGUAUUUCGGUAUGUAAAGCUCUAUCAGCAGGGAAGAAAAUGACGGUACCUGACUAAGAAGCCCCGGCUAACUACGUGCCAGCAGCCGCGGUAAUACGGAGGAUGCGAGCGUUAUCCGGAUUUAUUGGGUUUAAAGGGUGCGAAGGCGGUCCGUUAAGUCAGCGGUAAAAUUGCGGGGCUCAACCCCG